Molecule: unclassified non-coding RNA, 315 nt
Filed under: fungal sp.
Lineage: Eukaryota; Fungi
Description: partial internal transcribed spacer region
Rfam family: Eukaryotic small subunit ribosomal RNA (bases 1-46)
Source: RNAcentral
AAGUCGUAACAAGGUUUCCGUAGGUGAACCUGCGGAAGGAUCAUUAUUAAAACAAAACAUAUUUAUAAUUUAUUUAUUAUUUAUAUGUUGGUAUUAAUAAAUACACACAUUUAGAAAUGUAAUUUUUCUUUUUGAAAUUUAAUUUUUAGCAUUUCUAAAUUAUUUAAAAAAUUAAAUAUCAUUAUCGACUGAUUUUAAAAUGAAAUUUUAAAUUUUAAUUUUAAAUAAAGUUGAAAAAAAUAUAUAUAAAACGUUUUUGGUCUUACAAAAGAAAAGUCUUAAAAUAACUUUUAACGAUGGAUCUCUUGGCUCCUA